RNAcentral lists this transfer RNA (67 nucleotides) under Istiompax indica (black marlin). RNAcentral's name for it is "tRNA-Cys". Lineage: Eukaryota; Metazoa; Chordata; Actinopteri; Istiophoriformes; Istiophoridae. The record is from RNAcentral.
AGCUCUGAGGUGUUUUACAUAUUAGAUUGCAAAUCUAAAAGAAGCAGGCUAACCCCUGCCGGGGCUU